This 460-nucleotide ribosomal RNA is filed under the name uncultured Anoxybacillus sp. RNAcentral's name for it is "bacterial SSU rRNA". It matches the Rfam family "Bacterial small subunit ribosomal RNA", at positions 923 to 1382 of the family's 1533-position model. The record is from RNAcentral. Lineage: Bacteria; Bacillati; Bacillota; Bacilli; Caryophanales; Anoxybacillaceae.
GCACAAGCGGUGGAGCAUGUGGUUUAAUUCGAAGCAACGCGAAGAACCUUACCAGGUCUUGACAUCCCCUGACAACCCAAGAGAUUGGGCGUUCCCCUUCGGGGGACAGGGUGACAGGUGGUGCAUGGUUGUCGUCAGCUCGUGUCGUGAGAUGUUGGGUUAAGUCCCGCAACGAGCGCAACCCUUGUCUUUAAUUGCCAUCAUUCGGUUGGGCACUCUAAGGAGACUGCCGGUGUCAAACCGGAGGAAGGUGGGGAUGACGUCAAGUCCUCAUGGCCCUUAUGUCCAGGGCUACACACGUGCUACAAUGGCCGGUACAAAGGGUUGCCAAGCCGCGAGGUGGAGCUAAUCCCAUAAAACCGAUCGUAGUCCGGAUCGCAGUCUGCAACUCGACUGCGUGAAGUCGGAAUCGCUAGUAAUCGUGAAUCAGAAUGUCACGGUGAAUACGUUCCCGGGCCUU